UUAAGCGACUAAGCGUACACGGUGGAUGCCCUGGCAGUCAGAGGCGAUGAAGGACGUGCUAAUCUGCGAUAAGCGUCGGUGAGGUGAUAUGAACCGUUAUAACCGGCGAUUUCCGAAUGGGGAAACCCAGUGUGUUUCGACACACUAUCAUUAACUGAAUCCAUAGGUUAAUGAGGCGAACCGGGGGAACUGAAACAUCUAAGUACCCCGAGGAAAAGAAAUCAACCGAGAUUCCCCCAGUAGCGGCGAGCGAACGGGGAGGAGCCCAGAGCCUGAAUCAGUGUGUGUGUUAGUGGAAGCGUCUGGAAAGGCGUGCGAUACAGGGUGACAGCCUCGUACACAAAAAUGCACAUAUUGUGAGCUCGAUGAGUAGGGCGGGACACGUGGUAUCCUGUCUGAAUAUGGGGGGACCAUCCUCCAAGGCUAAAUACUCCUGACUGACCGAUAGUGAACCAGUACCGUGAGGGAAAGGCGAAAAGAACCCCGGCGAGGGGAGUGAAAAAGAACCUGAAACCGUGUACGUACAAGCAGUGGGAGCCUCUUAAUGGGGUGACUGCGUACCUUUUGUAUAAUGGGUCAGCGACUUAUAUUCUGUAGCAAGGUUAACCGAAUAGGGGAGCCGAAGGGAAACCGAGUCUUAACUGGGCGUUAAGUUGCAGGGUAUAGACCCGAAACCCGGUGAUCUAGCCAUGGGCAGGUUGAAGGUUGGGUAACACUAACUGGAGGACCGAACCGACUAAUGUUGAAAAAUUAGCGGAUGACUUGUGGCUGGGGGUGAAAGGCCAAUCAAACCGGGAGAUAGCUGGUUCUCCCCGAAAGCUAUUUAGGUAGCGCCUCGUGAAUUCAUCUCCGGGGGUAGAGCACUGUUUCGGCAAGGGGGUCAUCCCGACUUACCAACCCGAUGCAAACUGCGAAUACCGGAGAAUGUUAUCACGGGAGACACACGGCGGGUGCUAACGUCCGUCGUGAAGAGGGAAACAACCCAGACCGCCAGCUAAGGUCCCAAAGUCAUGGUUAAGUGGGAAACGAUGUGGGAAGGCCCAGACAGCCAGGAUGUUGGCUUAGAAGCAGCCAUCAUUUAAAGAAAGCGUAAUAGCUCACUGGUCGAGUCGGCCUGCGCGGAAGAUGUAACGGGGCUAAACCAUGCACCGAAGCUGCGGCAGCGACACUAUGUGUUGUUGGGUAGGGGAGCGUUCUGUAAGCCUGUGAAGGUGGCCUGUGAGGGUUGCUGGAGGUAUCAGAAGUGCGAAUGCUGACAUAAGUAACGAUAAAGCGGGUGAAAAGCCCGCUCGCCGGAAGACCAAGGGUUCCUGUCCAACGUUAAUCGGGGCAGGGUGAGUCGACCCCUAAGGCGAGGCCGAAAGGCGUAGUCGAUGGGAAACAGGUUAAUAUUCCUGUACUUGGUGUUACUGCGAAGGGGGGACGGAGAAGGCUAUGUUGGCCGGGCGACGGUUGUCCCGGUUUAAGCGUGUAGGCUGGUUUUCCAGGCAAAUCCGGAAAACCAAGGCUGAGGCGUGAUGACGAGGCACUACGGUGCUGAAGUGACAAAUGCCCUGCUUCCAGGAAAAGCCUCUAAGCAUCAGGUAACAUCAAAUCGUACCCCAAACCGACACAGGUGGUCAGGUAGAGAAUACCAAGGCGCUUGAGAGAACUCGGGUGAAGGAACUAGGCAAAAUGGUGCCGUAACUUCGGGAGAAGGCACGCUGAUAUGUAGGUGAAGCGACUUGCUCGUGGAGCUGAAAUCAGUCGAAGAUACCAGCUGGCUGCAACUGUUUAUUAAAAACACAGCACUGUGCAAACACGAAAGUGGACGUAUACGGUGUGACGCCUGCCCGGUGCCGGAAGGUUAAUUGAUGGGGUUAGCGGUAACGCGAAGCUCUUGAUCGAAGCCCCGGUAAACGGCGGCCGUAACUAUAACGGUCCUAAGGUAGCGAAAUUCCUUGUCGGGUAAGUUCCGACCUGCACGAAUGGCGUAAUGAUGGCCAGGCUGUCUCCACCCGAGACUCAGUGAAAUUGAACUCGCUGUGAAGAUGCAGUGUACCCGCGGCAAGACGGAAAGACCCCGUGAACCUUUACUAUAGCUUGACACUGAACAUUGAGCCUUGAUGUGUAGGAUAGGUGGGAGGCUUUGAAGUGUGGACGCCAGUCUGCAUGGAGCCGACCUUGAAAUACCACCCUUUAAUGUUUGAUGUUCUAACGUUGGCCCGUAAUCCGGGUUGCGGACAGUGUCUGGUGGGUAGUUUGACUGGGGCGGUCUCCUCCUAAAGAGUAACGGAGGAGCACGAAGGUUGGCUAAUCCUGGUCGGACAUCAGGAGGUUAGUGCAAUGGCAUAAGCCAGCUUGACUGCGAGCGUGACGGCGCGAGCAGGUGCGAAAGCAGGUCAUAGUGAUCCGGUGGUUCUGAAUGGAAGGGCCAUCGCUCAACGGAUAAAAGGUACUCCGGGGAUAACAGGCUGAUACCGCCCAAGAGUUCAUAUCGACGGCGGUGUUUGGCACCUCGAUGUCGGCUCAUCACAUCCUGGGGCUGAAGUAGGUCCCAAGGGUAUGGCUGUUCGCCAUUUAAAGUGGUACGCGAGCUGGGUUUAGAACGUCGUGAGACAGUUCGGUCCCUAUCUGCCGUGGGCGCUGGAGAACUGAGGGGGGCUGCUCCUAGUACGAGAGGACCGGAGUGGACGCAUCACUGGUGUUCGGGUUGUCAUGCCAAUGGCACUGCCCGGUAGCUAAAUGCGGAAGAGAUAAGUGCUGAAAGCAUCUAAGCACGAAACUUGCCCCGAGAUGAGUUCUCCCUGACUCCUUGAGAGUCCUGAAGGAACGUUGAAGACGACGACGUUGAUAGGCCGGGUGUGUAAGCGCAGCGAUGCGUUGAGCUAACCGGUACUAAUGAACCGUGAGGCUUAACCUU
RNAcentral lists this ribosomal RNA (2902 nucleotides) under Escherichia coli HVH 132 (4-6876862). Its description in RNAcentral is "bacterial LSU rRNA". It matches the Rfam family "Bacterial large subunit ribosomal RNA". Lineage: Bacteria; Pseudomonadati; Pseudomonadota; Gammaproteobacteria; Enterobacterales; Enterobacteriaceae. The record is from RNAcentral.